RNAcentral lists this transfer RNA (73 nucleotides) under Nanobdellota archaeon. RNAcentral's name for it is "tRNA-Gly". It matches the Rfam family "tRNA". Rfam says of the family: Transfer RNA (tRNA) molecules are approximately 80 nucleotides in length. Their secondary structure includes four short double-helical elements and three loops (D, anti-codon, and T loops). RNAcentral also lists the same sequence under 1 other name. The record is from RNAcentral. Lineage: Archaea; Nanobdellati; Nanobdellota.
GCGUUGGUAGUUCAACCUGGUAGAACCUCCGCCUUCCAAGCGGAUGAUCUGGGUUCAAAUCCCAGCCAGCGCA